This 1240-nucleotide ribosomal RNA is filed under the name metagenome. RNAcentral's name for it is "bacterial LSU rRNA". It matches the Rfam family "Bacterial large subunit ribosomal RNA", at positions 1564 to 2814 of the family's 2925-position model. The record is from RNAcentral.
UGAUGACGAGACGCUAAGGCGUUGAAGCAGUGUAUGUCAGACUUCCAAGAAAAGCUCGCAAUGUCACAAAUAAAAAGUGCCUGUACCAUAACCGACACAGGUGGGUAGGUAGAGUAUACUAAGGGGCGCGAGAUAACUCUCUCUAAGGAACUCGGCAAAAUGACUCCGUAACUUCGGGAGAAGGAGUGCCUUAUUUAUAAGGUUGCAAUAACAAGAUCCAAGCAACUGUUUAUCAAAAACACAGGUCUCCGCUAAGUCGUAAGACGAUGUAUGGGGGCUGACGCCUGCCCAGUGCCAGAAGGUUAAAGAAGUUGGUUAGUGUAUGCGAAGCUGAUGACUGAAGCCCUGGUGAACGGCGGCCGUAACGAUAACGGUCCUAAGGUAGCGAAAUUCCUUGUCGGGUAAGUUCCGACCCGCACGAAAGGCGUAAUGAUUUGGAUACUGUCUCGGAGAGAGGCUCGGUGAAAUAGACUUGUCUGUGAAGAUGCGGACUACCUGCACCAGGACAGAAAGACCCUAUGAAGCUUUACUGUAACUUGAAAUUGGAAUUGGACUUUGCUUGCGCAGUAUAGGUGGGAAGCGUUGAAAAUAUUCUUGCGGGAGUAUUGGAGCUAUCAGUGAGAUACCACUCUUGUAAUGUUAGAUUUCUAACUUUGAACCAUAAUCUGGUCAAAGAACAGUUUCAGGUGGGCAGUUUGACUGGGGCGGUCGCCUCCCAAAUGGUAACGGAGGCGUACAAAGGUUUCCUCUGAACGGAUAGAAAUCGUAUCUAGAGUGUAAAGGCAUAAGGAAGCUUGACUGUGAGACCUACAAGUCGAGCAGGGACGAAAGUCGGUCUUAGUGAUCUGACGGUACUGAGUGGAAAGGCCGUCACUCAACGGAUAAAAGUUACUCUAGGAUAACAGGCUGAUCUCCCCCAAGAGUUCACAUCGACGGGGAGGUUUGGCACCUCGAUGUCGGCUCAUCGCAUCCUGGGGCGGUAGUACGUCCCAAGGGUUGGGCUGUUCGCCCAUGAAAGCGGUACGCGAGCUGGGUUCAGAACGUCGUGAGACAGUUCGGUCCAUAUCCGGUGUAGGCGCUAGAAUAUUGAGAGGAGCCUUCUUUAGUACGAGAGGACCGAGAAGGACACACCGCUGGUGUACCAGUUAUCGUGCCAACGGUAAACGCUGGGUAGCUAUGUGUGGAGUGGAUAACCGCUGAAAGCAUCUAAGUGGGAAGCCCACCUCGAGAUGAGUAUUCU